UACGGAGGGUGCGAGCGUUGUCCGGAAUCACUGGGCGUAAAGGGCGCGUAGGCGGCCUGAUAAGUCGGGGGUGAAAUCCUGCGGCUUAACCGCAGGGAUGCCUUCUAAACUGUCAGGCUAGAGCACAGUAGAGGCAGGUGGAAUUCCCGGUGUAGCGGUGGAAUGCGUAGAGAUGUGGAGGAACACCGAUGGCGAAGGCAGCCCCCUGGGCCGGCACUGACGCUAAGGCACGAAAGCGUGGGGAGCAAACAGG
This 253-nucleotide ribosomal RNA is filed under the name uncultured bacterium. RNAcentral describes it as "partial 16S ribosomal RNA". It matches the Rfam family "Bacterial small subunit ribosomal RNA", at positions 524 to 776 of the family's 1533-position model. The record is from RNAcentral.